CGGCGUCAUGGUCGACCGCUACGGGCCGCGGCUGCUGAUUGCGGCCGGUGCGGCGCUCAUGUUUGCCGGCCAGUUCCAGCUGGCCGCCGCCGA
RNAcentral lists this transfer RNA (93 nucleotides) under Arthrobacter saudimassiliensis. RNAcentral describes it as "tRNA-Ser". The record is from RNAcentral. Lineage: Bacteria; Bacillati; Actinomycetota; Actinomycetes; Micrococcales; Micrococcaceae.